AAUCAACGCUGGCGGCGUGCCUAACACAUGCAAGUCGAACGCGGAAGCCCCUUCGGGGGUAAGUAGAGUGGCGUCCGGGUGAGUAACACGUAGGUAAUCUACCUUCGGGUGGGGAAGUAACUCGCCGAAAGGACGAGCUAAUACCGCAUAAUGCAGCGGCACCUAAUGGUGAUUAGUUGUUAAAGCGGGGGAGUCUAAGACCUCGCGCCUGAAGAGGAGCCUGCGGCAGAUUAGCUAGUUGGGAGG
Molecule: ribosomal RNA, 246 nt
Filed under: uncultured bacterium
Lineage: Bacteria
Description: partial 16S ribosomal RNA
Rfam family: Bacterial small subunit ribosomal RNA
Source: RNAcentral